GAGGCGGGGCCGCGCGAUAAAAGAGGGAGGGGCGAAACCUGAGGAGGAGGAGGAGUUGAAGGGGCGGGGCUCUGCUGGUCACCUGAAAUGGUUGGUGGUCUGUCAAGCGCCUUCCCGCCUCUUCUCUAAAGCAGCUCAUCGUGGAGAAUUAAAGCAGGGGCUCAGGACUCAGAAACAGCUCUCUGGUGGGCUGUAUGGUACUUCAGACAGCAAAGAUGCCAGCAGAUUAUAUUGGCUACCAGAUGGUAAUUCGGAAGGCCAGCUGACUUAGGGCAGCCUUGGGAAGACCUUAAUUGCUGCUCUGUAUCCCUCUCUGGAGAGUAAACCUGUUCAGGAGUGGAGCCUCCCAGAGGAGGAAACAGAGAUGUUCCUUUUUGCAGCUAGCCUGAUGCUGAAUGGAGGAAGAUACUGAGGGUACACUUCCUAGUCCUCAAAACUAUCAGCAGAAUCAUCAAGGACAAACAUUCAGAAUAUCAGCUGCUUCCAGCUACUGAGAUGAAG
Podarcis muralis (Common wall lizard) is the source of this 501-nucleotide non-coding RNA. Lineage: Eukaryota; Metazoa; Chordata; Lepidosauria; Squamata; Lacertidae. The record is from RefSeq and is a predicted model, not a curated record.